RNAcentral lists this ribosomal RNA (487 nucleotides) under uncultured bacterium. RNAcentral describes it as "partial 16S ribosomal RNA". It matches the Rfam family "Bacterial small subunit ribosomal RNA", at positions 28 to 507 of the family's 1533-position model. The record is from RNAcentral.
GAUGAACGCUAGCGAUAGGCUUAACACAUGCAAGUCGAGGGGCAGCACAAUGUAGCUUGCUAUCUGGGUGGCGACCGUCGCACGCGUGCGUAACGCGUAUGCAACUUUCCCUAUACAGGAGGAUAACCCGUCGAAAGACGGACUAAUACUGCGUAUGCUCACAACUUUGCAUCAAGUGGUUAUUAAAGACAUUCGGUAUAGGAUAGGCAUGCGUCCCAUUAGCUUGUUGGUGAGGUAACGGCUCACCAAGGCAACGAUGGGUAGGGGAACUGAGAGGUUGACACCCGAGAAUGGUACUGAGACACGGACCAGACUCCUACGCAAGGGAGGAGUGAGGAAUAUUGGGCAAUGGGCGCGAGCCUGAACAAGCCAAGUCGCGUGAAGGAGGACUGUGUUAGGGAUUGUAAACUUCUUUUAUACGAGAAUAACAAGAGUAACGUGUGACUUCCUGAAUGUACCGAAUGAAUAAGCAUCGGCUAACUCCGUG